AUUGAACGCUGGCGGCAGGCCUAACACAUGCAAGUCGAGCGGAUGAAGGGAGCUUGCUCCUGGAUUCAGCGGCGGACGGGUGAGUAAUGCCUAGGAAUCUGCCUGGUCGUGGGGGAUAACGUCCGGAAACGGGCGCUAAUACCGUAUACGUCCUGAUGGAGAAAGUGGGGGAUCUUCGGACCUCACGCUAUCAGAUGAGACUAGGUCGGAUUAGCUAGUUGGUGGGGUAAAGGCCUACCAAGGCGACGAUCCGUAACUGGUCUGAGAGGAUGAUCAGUCACACUGGAACUGAGACACGGUCCAGACUCCUACGGGAGGCAGCAGUGGGGAAUAUUGGACAAUGGGCGAAAGCCUGAUCCAGCCAUGCCGCGUGUGUGAAGAAGGUCUUCGGAUUGUAAAGCACUUUAAGUUGGGAGGAAGAGCAGUAAGUUAAUACCUUGCUGUUUUGACGUUACCAACAGAAUAAGCACCGGCUAACUUCGUG
This 484-nucleotide ribosomal RNA is filed under the name uncultured bacterium. RNAcentral describes it as "partial 16S ribosomal RNA". It matches the Rfam family "Bacterial small subunit ribosomal RNA", at positions 30 to 507 of the family's 1533-position model. The record is from RNAcentral.